AUGAACGCUGGCUGCGUGCCUAACACAUGCAAGUCGAGCGGCAGCGAGGGGUGCUUGCACCCUGUCGGCGAGCGGCGGACGGCUGAGUAACGCGUGGGAACGUGCCCCAAAGUGAGGAAUAACUGCCCGAAAGGGUAGCUAAUACCGCAUAUUAUCUUCGGAUCAAAGGAUUUAUCCGCUUUGGGAGCGGCUCGCGUCGGAUUAGGUAGUUGGUGAGGUAAUGGCUCACCAAGCCGACGAUCCGUAGCUGGUCUGAGAGGAUGACCAGCCAGACUGGAACUGAGACACGGUCCAGACUCCUACGGGAGGCAGCAGUGAGGAAUCUUCCACAAUGGGCGAAAGCCUGAUGGAGCAACGCCGCGUGCAGGACGAAGGCCUUCGGGUUGUAAACUGCUUUUAUAAGUGAGGAAUAUGACGGUAACUUAUGAAUAAGGAUCGGCUAACUACGUG
RNAcentral lists this ribosomal RNA (450 nucleotides) under uncultured bacterium. RNAcentral's name for it is "partial 16S ribosomal RNA". It matches the Rfam family "Bacterial small subunit ribosomal RNA", at positions 29 to 507 of the family's 1533-position model. The record is from RNAcentral.